UGGCAGUCAGAGGCGAUGAAGGGCGUGCUAAUCUGCGAUAAGCGCCGGUAAGGUGAUAUGAACCGUUAUAACCGGCGAUACCCGAAUGGGGAAACCCAGUGUGAUUCGUCACACUAUCAUUAACUGAAUCCAUAGGUUAAUGAGGCGAACCGGGGGAACUGAAACAUCUAAGUACCCCGAGGAAAAGAAAUCAACCGAGAUUCCCCCAGUAGCGGCGAGCGAACGGGGAGGAGCCCAGAGCCUGAAUCAGCAUGUGUGUUAGUGGAAGCGUCUGGAAAGGCGCGCGAUACAGGGUGACAGCCCCGUACACAAAAGCGCAUGUGCUGUGAGCUCGAUGAGUAGGGCGGGACACGUGGUAUCCUGUCUGAAUAUGGGGGGACCAUCCUCCAAGGCUAAAUACUCCUGACUGACCGAUAGUGAACCAGUACCGUGAGGGAAAGGCGAAAAGAACCCCGGCGAGGGGAGUGAAAAAGAACCUGAAACCGUGUACGUACAAGCAGUGGGAGCCCCACCACUAAGCCAGUGGUGAACUCCACAUACGCAUCCUUUGCUGAGGAUACGGUUAACGGAGCGAAAGCGACGUUCAACCUCAAAAGAAGCAGAGGGGGCUUAGUGGUGGGGUGACUGCGUACCUUUUGUAUAAUGGGUCAGCGACUUAUAUUCUGUAGCAAGGUUAACCGCAUAGGGGAGCCGGAGGGAAACCGAGUCUUAAU
RNAcentral lists this ribosomal RNA (713 nucleotides) under Salmonella enterica subsp. enterica serovar Kambole. RNAcentral describes it as "partial 23S ribosomal RNA". It matches the Rfam family "Bacterial large subunit ribosomal RNA", at positions 34 to 688 of the family's 2925-position model. Lineage: Bacteria; Pseudomonadati; Pseudomonadota; Gammaproteobacteria; Enterobacterales; Enterobacteriaceae. The record is from RNAcentral.